RNAcentral lists this ribosomal RNA (460 nucleotides) under uncultured bacterium. RNAcentral describes it as "partial 16S ribosomal RNA". It matches the Rfam family "Bacterial small subunit ribosomal RNA", at positions 338 to 795 of the family's 1533-position model. The record is from RNAcentral.
CCUACGGGUGGCUGCAGUGAGGAAUAUUGGUCAAUGGGCGGUAGCCUGAACCAGCCAAGUAGCGUGCGGGAUGAAUGCCCUAUGGGUUGUAAACUUCUUUUGUACGGGGAUAAAACCCUCCACUUGUGCUGGUUUGCAGGUACCGUGCGAAUAAGGGUCGGCUAAAUCCGUGUCAGCAGCCGCGGUAAUACGGAGGGUCCGAGCGUUAUCCGGAUUUAUUUGGCUUAAAGGGAGCGUAGGGGGGCGGUUAAGUCAGUUGUGAAAGUUUGCGGCUCAACCGGAGCAUCGCAGUUGAUACUGGCAGCCUUGAGUACACAACAGGCAGGCGGAAUUCGUGGUGUAGCGGUGAAAUGCAUAGAUAUCACGAAGAACCCCGAUUGCGAAGGCAGCCUGCUGGAGUGCAACUGACGCUGAGGCUCGAAGGUGCGGGUAUCAAACAGGAUUAGAUACCCGAGUAGUC